UACGAAGGGGGCUAGCGUUGCUCGGAAUCCCUGGGCGUAAAGCGCACGUAGGCGGAUUGCUAAGUCAGGGGUGAAAUCCUGGAGCUCAACUCCAGAACUGCCUUUGAUACUGGCAAUCUCGAGUCCGGGAGAGGUGAGUGGAACUGCGAGUGUAGAGGUGAAAUUCGUAGAUAUUCGCAAGAACACCAGUGGCGAAGGCGACUACCUGGCCUGUUUCUUGACGCUGAGGCGCGAAAGCUAGGGGAGCAAACGGG
This 254-nucleotide ribosomal RNA is filed under the name uncultured bacterium. RNAcentral describes it as "partial 16S ribosomal RNA". It matches the Rfam family "Bacterial small subunit ribosomal RNA", at positions 524 to 776 of the family's 1533-position model. The record is from RNAcentral.